CCUACGUGCGGCAGCAGUGAGGAAUAUUGGUCAAUGGGCGCGAGCCUGAACCAGCCAAGUAGCGUGAAGGAUGACUGCCCUACGGGUUGUAAACUUCUUUUAUAAAGGAAUCAAGUGAGGCACGUGUGCCUUUUUGUAUGUACUUUAUGAAUAAGGAUCGGCUAACUCCGUGCCAGCAGCCGCGGUAAUACGGAGGAUCCGAGCGUUAUCCGGAUUUAUUGGGUUUAAAGGGAGCGUAGAUGGGUUGUUAAGUCAGUUGUGAAAGUUUGCGGCUCAACCGUAAAAUUGCAAUUGAUACUGGCAGUCUUGAGUACAGUUGAGGUAGGCGGAAUUCGUGGUGUAGCGGUGAAAUGCUUAGAUAUCACGAAGAACUCCGAUUGCGAAGGCAGCUUACUAAACUGCCACUGACAUUGAUGCUCGAAAGUGUGGGUAUCAAACAGGAUUAGAUACCCUUGUAGUC
This 460-nucleotide ribosomal RNA is filed under the name uncultured bacterium. RNAcentral's name for it is "partial 16S ribosomal RNA". It matches the Rfam family "Bacterial small subunit ribosomal RNA", at positions 338 to 795 of the family's 1533-position model. The record is from RNAcentral.